Molecule: ribosomal RNA, 1437 nt
Filed under: uncultured organism
Description: SSU rRNA
Rfam family: Bacterial small subunit ribosomal RNA
Source: RNAcentral
UGGAUGAACGCUAGCUACAGGCUUAACACAUGCAAGUCGAGGGGCAGCAUGGUCUUAGCUUGCUAAGGCCGAUGGCGACCGGCGCACGGGUGAGUAACGCGUAUCCAACCUGCCUUACACUCUUGGACAGCCUUCUGAAAGGGAGAUUAAUACAAGAUGUUAUCAUGAGUAAGCAUUUUCGCAUGAUUAAAGGUUUACCGGUGUAAGAUGGGGAUGCGUUCCAUUAGAUAGUAGGCGGGGUAACGGCCCACCUAGUCUUCGAUGGAUAGGGGUUCUGAGAGGAAGGUCCCCCACAUUGGAACUGAGACACGGUCCAAACUCCUACGGGAGGCAGCAGUGAGGAAUAUUGGUCAAUGGACGAGAGUCUGAACCAGCCAAGUAGCGUGAAGGAUGAAGGUUCUAUGGAUUGUAAACUUCUUUUAUACGGGAAUAAACGAAUCCACGCGUGGAUUUUUGCAUGUACCGUAUGAAUAAGGAUCGGCUAACUCCGUGCCAGCAGCCGCGGUAAUACGGAGGAUCCGAGCGUUAUCCGGAUUUAUUGGGUUUAAAGGGAGCGUAGAUGGGUUGUUAAGUCAGUUGUGAAAGUUUGCGGCUCAACCGUAAAAUUGCAAUUGAUACUGGCAGUCUUGAGUACAGUUGAGGUAGGCGGAAUUCGUGGUGUAGCGGUGAAAUGCUUAGAUAUCACGAGGAACUCCGAUUGCGAAGGCAGCUUACUAACCUGUAACUGACAUUGAUGCUCGAAAGUGUGGGUAUCAAACAGGAUUAGAUACCCUGGUAGUCCACACGGUAAACGAUGAAUACUCGCUGUAGGCGAUAUACAGUCUGCGGCCAAGCGAAAGCAUUAAGUAUUCCACCUGGGGAGUACGCCGGCAACGGUGAAACUCAAAGGAAUUGACGGGGGCCCGCACAAGCGGAGGAACAUGUGGUUUAAUUCGAUGAUACGCGAGGAACCUUACCCGGGCUUAAAUUGCAACCGAAUAUGGCGGAAACGCUAUAGCUAGCAAUAGCGGUUGUGAAGGUGCUGCAUGGUUGUCGUCAGCUCGUGCCGUGAGGUGUCGGCUUAAGUGCCAUAACGAGCGCAACCCUUGCCGAUAGUUACUAACAGGUUAUGCUGAGGACUCUGUCGGGACUGCCAUCGUAAGAUGUGAGGAAGGUGGGGAUGACGUCAAAUCAGCACGGCCCUUACGUCCGGGGCUACACACGUGUUACAAUGGGGGGUACAGAGGGCUGCUACCACGCAAGUGGAUGCCAAUCCCAAAAACCUCUCUCAGUUCGGAUUGAAGUCUGCAACCCGACUUCAUGAAGCUGGAUUCGCUAGUAAUCGCGCAUCAGCCACGGCGCGGUGAAUACGUUCCCGGGCCUUGUACACACCGCCCGUCAAGCCAUGGGAGCCGGGGGUACCUGAAGUGCGUAACCGCAAGGAGCGCCCUAGGGUAA